ACUAUUUCUCUAAAAAAACGCGUCGAUGUUGAGAAGACGAUGAAGCUAGUAACCUCUUAAAAAAACUAUAAAAUAAAAAACAACAUAUAUAACACUAGGAAAUGACACAUGCCACUCCUAAAUAUUGAGAAGAUGAAGCUAGUGACCUCUUAACAAGUCGAUGACGGCGUAGAAAUGAUGAAAUGAAUCAAUAGCCGGAGAUGAGAGCAAGAACAAGCAACUGCAAAUUAAGAACACAGCAAAACAGUGA
Molecule: long non-coding RNA, 250 nt
Filed under: Sorghum bicolor (sorghum)
Lineage: Eukaryota; Viridiplantae; Streptophyta; Magnoliopsida; Poales; Poaceae
Description: long non-coding RNA (SBIC_LNC009061)
Source: RNAcentral